UGCUUUGUUUCAUUACCUUCUUGAGUUGUGGCUCAGACACUACAACAGAGCUUUAUCAUCUCUUUCUAAAAGCUGGGAAAUGGUUAUUGUCAAUGCCAGCCGCAUUUUGGAGGCACCUGGCUGCAGGGGACCACAGCUAACUUGGUGCGGUGGCUCAGGACUGUAAUUCCAGCUACAUGGGAGGAUUGCUUGAGACCAGGACUUUGAGACCAGCCUGAACAAUAUAAUAGACUGGGAGCUCCACGAGGUCCGAGACAACCUGAAGUCUCCCAGCUCAGAAGAGACUUGCUAUGGCAAUCACUCAGUAACUAUUUGUUGAAUUGGACAUAGUAGAAGAGUGAAGAAUUUUAAACAAGUCACCAUCAGUCCAGUGGAUUCCUCAAAGCAAACCUGGAAAUCUUGGCAUGAGUUGGAUUUAAGGCAGUACAUUUUCAGCUCCUCAAAAUUUGAACAGUUUCUCAAGAGAACAACUUGAAACAGAAAGGAAGGAUGUAGAUGUGGUUGUAGAAGAUGAUGUCUAAGGCCACCAAACUGUCCACUGUGAAGAUAAACCAUGCAUGUUUAGUAGGCGGUGGCUCCCCUUCCCUGUGGGGAGUCCCACUGCUUCCCUGGCCUGGGAGUUCUCUGCCAGUAGAUGUUAUUGACAAAAUAAGCAAAGUCCCCUGAUUCAGAUAAUUAGAGUUUAUGAUAGCUCUAGAUUGCCACUGCCAUGCUAUUUAAAGUCCUGCUUUAUUGUCUGACAUGAGUUCGGCAUCUGUGAGGACUUGUCCAAUGCAAGGUACAAUCUCCACUGAAAGAUACCACCAGCACAUCUUGCCACUGUGCUGUAGCAAGCUGGGCAGUACAAUGAUGUUGGCAGGACCCUGUUUAGGUGGAGGAUGGCUACCUGGGCAUCAAUAAUAUUCUACCUUGAUUCCACAUUGAUUCCCAAACAGCUCUUCACCCACAUCUUCUAAUUAAAGCAGCAGACGGGAGUCCCAGCUAGAGAAAAGUUCUGGGAGCAGGAGAGGUGUUGGUGGCUUUAAAACCAGGGGUAAAGACUGAAUUAGGAGGUUAAGCAGGAGUAGGAUCAAAGGCUUAGAAAGUGCUUGUUUCCUUCCAUUGUUCUUAUGAGAGCUGAUAAGGGGCUUUCAGUUUUGCGGGGAGCCUUGGAAGAGAAUGAGGGAAUUUAAUCAACUAGCGGGACCUUUCCAACCUACAUUUCCCAGUGUUUGUUGGGUGAUACGUUUGCCUAAUAAGUUAAAGCUUCCAAAAAUAGAAAGGAAAGCUUGGUGACACUAAGCUCUGGCAUGCUGUCAUCUUCUGGCUAGGGGUCUUGUGCUUCUGUUUUUCUAUUUCUGACCAAGGACAUAAAAUGUGUUGUGACCUCUCAGAUAGUGCUAUGGCAUCAUGUCCAAGCAGCAACUAACCGGAGUGGAGUUUUCAUAGGUAAAAAAGUAUUGAAUAGCUCAGCCACAGGGAGGAUUUCACGAUAAAUUGCUUUUUCAGAAAAUGACAAAGGGGCAGACACUUGCGGUUCUUCCAUU
Long non-coding RNA from Rhinopithecus roxellana (golden snub-nosed monkey), 1526 nucleotides. RefSeq lists it as uncharacterized. Lineage: Eukaryota; Metazoa; Chordata; Mammalia; Primates; Cercopithecidae. The record is from RefSeq and is a predicted model, not a curated record. The transcript is spliced from 3 exons.